RNAcentral lists this unclassified non-coding RNA (378 nucleotides) under Hevea brasiliensis (rubber tree). The record is from RNAcentral. Lineage: Eukaryota; Viridiplantae; Streptophyta; Magnoliopsida; Malpighiales; Euphorbiaceae.
UAGCUCCUCCCGCACCCAGGAUCAAUUCAUUAGUCAAUCUCUUAAGGUGGUGGUUCACUUGGCCUUUGUAUUUCGAACAUGAGUUUUGCUGGCUCUUCCGUUGCCGCUGGUGGUAGAGCUGCCAAAAAGGCAAUUGAGUUUGGUAAAACCUACGUAGUGAGGCCCAAGGGAAAACACCAAGCUACCGUUGUCUGGCUUCAUGGUCUUGGUGAUAAUGGCUCAAGCUGGUCGCAACUAUUGGAGACUCUUCCCCUACCAAAUAUUAAAUGGAUAUGUCCGACUGCACCAACUCGACCAAUAGCUUUAUUUGGUGGCUUUCCAUCCACUGCAUGGUUUGAUGUGGAAGAUCUUUCAGAAGAUGGUCCGGAUGAUUUAGAG